CCUUUAACUCAUUAUUCUCCUCUUUUAAAAAAUCUACUCAUCUGCAUCUGUGAUGUCACUGAAAUCUUUGCAAAAUUAAAAAAUAAAAAUUAAAAAUACAACACGAGCAUAAUAUCACUAAAGACUGCAAAACCAGGCUCCUCAGCCAAGCGCUUUGUUUAGCAGACACCAGCAUCUUGAUUCUUGACAACCACCAAAUAAUGACUACUCAAAAUCAGCAGUACUGUUGCGUAAAAACGUCAUCUACAAUGUCAGGCUUUCUGGGUUCUCAACAAUCUUUGCAAAGGUUUGAAGGAAGGCAGCCAAGUCAGCACCAUAGACAAUUCGGUGGUCGGCUGUUACAUUCACCAGCAUUUUACUUUUCACACUGAAGAAUCCAUCUGCAUCAGCCACCACAGUUGGUUUUGAUGCUCCAACAGCCAUUAUAGCCCCCUGACCAGGAGGAAG
RNAcentral lists this unclassified non-coding RNA (447 nucleotides) under Hevea brasiliensis (rubber tree). Lineage: Eukaryota; Viridiplantae; Streptophyta; Magnoliopsida; Malpighiales; Euphorbiaceae. The record is from RNAcentral.